GAUCACCUUGGACAUCUGGAGCCUGGCAGGAGCGGACCCACAGAGGGGCUAGCUUGGGGAGGGCCGCGGGGCGCCCGGGAGCCUUUUGGGGAUCAUUUUUUGCUCCCGGGCGCCCCGCAGGCCGGGCAACAUCUGCGUGGGAGGGUGAAAGACCCAAGCUAGCAGCACGGAGGAGAAGAGGGGGGAGCCAGGCAUUCAUCCCGGUCAAUUUUGGUUUCAGGUCGUGGCGGCUGGUGGACAGGGGGCUUCUGGAGAGAGGCUCGCCCCGGGGCAGGGGCAACGGAGGCGUAGCUGGCAGCCACGGGCAGGUGAAGACAGCGCUCUGCCGGCCAGGUGAGUCCCCUUCUCCUCGCUGGGCCUUGCUCUCCUGGCCUCCUGCAGAAGGAGGUUCUGGGGAGCGUGGGCCAGCGAGGUGGAGAGGCUGGCCUCCCGGCAGAGCAGCAAGACACAGGCUGGUCAGGCAGCACAGGUGAUACCGUCUCAGGGGGAGCUGAGACAGGGCGGGCUGGGGGGCCGCGGGCCGCCCCGGGUGGCAAGGGCAUUUCCAGAGAGUCAGGUGGGACAAGCAGGAAGGGCUGCCAGCACGUGCAGGGGGCACUCAGGCCCCCGGAGCGAGCAGGACAGGGCGGGGACUCAGGACAGAGGGGUUCCCAGCCGCCACUUCACCCACUGCAAUUCACUUAGUAGCAGGUCACAGGAGCGGCUCCGGCCAGGCGUCCUCAGGCCUGAGCCGGAGCCUCGAGGGCCGGAGAAUGAGAGAGAAGGCAGCGCAGUGCGCGGGCAACCGCGGCGGGAUGUCAUCUGGGGGGCGGUGGCCGCGGGACAGGCCCGGAGAGAUACCCGCAGCAGGGAGGCUGCACGGGCCCAGCCCGUGGACGCCAGCCCCACGCGGCACUGCGGCCCAGGGGCCACGCGGGAGGGCCCCAGUGCACUUGGGGACACUGGGGACACUUGACCCGAAACGCUGGCCCCUGGGAUGGGCAUGAUAGACAGGACAGUACCCAGGGGAGCCAAGGACACGGGCGAGACCAGGCUAGGCGGGGCGGGCGGGGUGGCAUGAGUGUGCGCUCUCGGGGGAAGGGAGGUCAGGGCACAGGCAGGGGCGAGGGGCCGGAGCCGGGCACCGAGCCAGUGGGAGGGGCACUGGACUUCGAGCCCGUGGCCAAGGCGGGCCUCUGCGGGCGAUGACGGAGCGGGAUCGGUGCCUCUGAGCUCGGACCGGAGACGAAGCCACGUCUCCAGUGGGGUGGUGGUGCCUGCCAGCCACGGAGGCCCGGCGGCCAGGACGCGCACAGAGGGAUAUGAUAUGGUCCGGUGUGAUGGAGAGAGCAGGCGGGACCGUCCGGCCUCCCAGAGCGCUGGCCCCGCGGGGAGCCGGGAUAUCGCCGUUCCUUUAGCCUCCUGACGGAGCAGACGCUACUGCUGCUCUUCAGACACCCAGAACCCUCAAGAUGACAAGAAAUGGUGCUACCCAGCUCAUGCCUGGGACUUGGAACUUGGACUUCUUCAAGUCUUUCUAGCUCUGACUCGAGAAUAUGCUGCAUUUUGGAACCACUACACACCUUAACUCAGGAAUCAGCUCUGGAAGGUUGACCUAAAGGAACGGACGGCCCACACCACCGGAAGAGCGGCGCCCGCGGCGACACCCACCCCGGCCCGGCGACUCCAUCUCUGCGGCCACCCCCUGCCCCAGCCCCGAGACCACCAACAGCCUCCCUCCCUCCUUUCCCUCCUUUUCUGUCUCUGUCUUCUGACCUUCUCUCUGCUGUCCUUUGCUCAGGAGACUCAGAGCACCCAGAGCCCCGUCCCCCCGUCCCCCUUGAAUUAAUUUGCACUAAAAGUCGUUUGCACUGGUUGGGGUUCUGGAGCCAGCCCUGGUCUCUGAGCGUGUGUAAGCGCGUGUAUGUGCCAACUGCUGAAUGUGUAGGCCUCCUCGGCCCGUGCCCCCCGCCCAGCACCCUACCCACCCUCGUGGGUGACUGGGAGGGGGCCCGAGUGGGGGGGCCCGAGUGUGAGGGGCCCCGCCCUCCCACACCUAGUCUGGAGGCUCCAAACAUCGGGAGCACGGCACCAAGCAUUCCACUGUGUGCCCAUCUUGCCCUGUGUCCCUCCCUGCCAGGGCCUCCUCAGAUGCCCUGGACUCAUCAAUAAACUCAGUUACAGGAA
Long non-coding RNA from Budorcas taxicolor (takin), 2166 nucleotides. RefSeq lists it as uncharacterized. Lineage: Eukaryota; Metazoa; Chordata; Mammalia; Artiodactyla; Bovidae. The record is from RefSeq and is a predicted model, not a curated record. The transcript is spliced from 5 exons.